GUGCUUGCAUCAUCAUAUGUACUAAAAUUGGAAUGAUACAGAGGAGAUUAGCAUGUCCCCUGUGCAAAGAUGACACACAAAUUCAUGAAGUGUUCCAACUGUAC
RNAcentral lists this small nuclear RNA (104 nucleotides) under Notamacropus eugenii (tammar wallaby). The record is from RNAcentral. Lineage: Eukaryota; Metazoa; Chordata; Mammalia; Diprotodontia; Macropodidae.